This 352-nucleotide ribosomal RNA is filed under the name uncultured fungus. RNAcentral describes it as "SSU rRNA". It matches the Rfam family "Eukaryotic small subunit ribosomal RNA", at positions 28 to 371 of the family's 1831-position model. The record is from RNAcentral. Lineage: Eukaryota; Fungi.
CUUUCGUCAUGCUUGUCUCAAAGAUUAAGCCAUGCACGUCUGAGAAUAAAGAGUUUUCUCUGAAUCUGCGAAUGGCUCAUUAUAUCAGUUAUAGUUUAUUUGAUAGUCCCUUACUACUUGGAUAACCGUAGUAAUUCUAGAGCUAAUACAUGCAUCAAACCCCAACUGCUUGUCGGAAGGGGUGUAUUUAUUAGAUAGAAACCAAUGCGGGGCAACCCGGUAUUGUGGUGAAUCAUGAUAACUUUGCGGAUCGCAGACCUCGUGUCGGCGACGAAUCAUUCAAGUUUCUGCCCUAUCAGCUUUGGAUGGUAGGGUAUUGGCCUACCAUGGCUCCAACGGGUAACGGGGAAUG